AACAGGCUUGGUCCUGGCCUUUCUAUUAGCUCUUAGCAGGAUUACACAUGCAAGCAUCCCCGCUCCAGUGAAGACGCCCUAUAAAUCAUCAUGACCAAGAGGAGCAAGCAUCAAGCACGCACACGCAGCUCAAAACGCUUUGCCUAGCCACACCCCCACGGGAGACAGCAGUGACAAAUAUUUAGCAAUAAACGAAAGUUCAACUAAGCCAUGCUAUAUUUAGGGUUGGUCAAUUUCGUGCCAGCCACCGCGGUUACACGAUUAACCCCAGCUAAUAGAGAUCGGCGUAGAGGGUGUUUAAGAUCUGACAUAAUAAAGCUAAACUCCACCUAAACUGUAAAACCCUAGCUAAUGUAAAAUAAACUACGAAAGUGGCUUUAAAGCUUCUGAACACACAAUAGCCAAGACCCAAACUGGGAUUAGACACCCCACUAUGCUUGGCCCUAAACCUCAGUAGUUAGAUAACAAAACUACUCGCCAGAAUACUACAAGCAACAGCUUAAAACUCAAAGGACUUGACGGUGCUUUACAUCCCCCUAGAGGAGCCUGUUCCAUAAUCGAUAAACCCCGAUCCACCCCACCCUCUCUUGCUCAGCCUAUAUACCGCCAUCUUCAGCAAACCCUAAUGAAGGCUACAAAGUGAGCGCAAACGCCACUGCCGCGAAUACGUUAGGUCAAGGUGUAGCCCAUGAGACGGUAAAAAAUGGGCUACAUUUUCUAUUUCAGAAAACNCCCACGAAAACCCUUAUGAAACUUAAGGGUCCAAGGAGGAUUUAGCAGUAAAUUAAGAAUAGAGUGCUUAAUUGAACCAGGCCAUAAAGCGCGCACACACCGCCCGUCACUCCUCUCAAAUAUAUUUAAGGAAUAUCCUAACUAAACGCCCUAACAUUUAUAUAGAGAGGAUAAGUCGUAACAUGGUAAGCGUACUGGAAGGUGCGCUUGGAUAAAU
This 949-nucleotide non-coding RNA is filed under the name Macaca fascicularis (crab-eating macaque). RNAcentral describes it as "12S ribosomal RNA". It matches the Rfam family "Archaeal small subunit ribosomal RNA". Lineage: Eukaryota; Metazoa; Chordata; Mammalia; Primates; Cercopithecidae. The record is from RNAcentral.